AUAGCAGGCCGGCCUAUCGCUCAUAUCUGUUGAUUUGGGAGGAAAGUCCGGGCAAUAAAGGGCAUCACGCUUCUUAACGGGAAGAUACUUGUGAAAGUAUAGUAAUGUAGCAGAAAAUAACCGUCUUGCCUGGCAAGAUAAGGGUGAAAAGGUGAGGUAAGAGCUCACCAGUGGUUUAGGCAACUAAAUCAGCUGUACAUCUCGUGAAUUGCAAGACCAUGUAUAUCUCGAUCUCCGAAAGGACACAGAGCUGCUCGUUCUGGUUUCCAUAUAGAAAGUCGGGAGGGGUAGGUCGCUGGAAAUUGCGGGUGACCGUAGUUCAAGACAAAUGAUAGGCGCCUUUCCGUUGUGAAGGGAACAGGACCCGGCUUACAGGCUUGCUAUUUUU
Molecule: RNase P RNA, 388 nt
Filed under: Marinilabiliaceae bacterium JC017
Lineage: Bacteria; Pseudomonadati; Bacteroidota; Bacteroidia; Marinilabiliales; Marinilabiliaceae
Description: RNase P RNA component class A
Rfam family: Bacterial RNase P class A
About the family: Ribonuclease P (RNase P) is a ubiquitous endoribonuclease, found in archaea, bacteria and eukarya as well as chloroplasts and mitochondria. Its best characterised activity is the generation of mature 5'-ends of tRNAs by cleaving the 5'-leader elements of precursor-tRNAs. Cellular RNase Ps are ribonucleoproteins.
Source: RNAcentral